UGGGGAAUAUUGGACAAUGGGGGAAACCCUGAUCCAGCCAUGCCGCGUGAGUGAUGAAGGCCCUAGGGUUGUAAAGCUCUUUUGUGCGGGAAGAUAAUGACGGUACCGCAAGAAUAAGCCCCGGCUAACUUCGUGCCAGCAGCCGCGGUAAUACGAAGGGGGCUAGCGUUGCUCGGAAUCACUGGGCGUAAAGGGUGCGUAGGCGGGUCUUUAAGUCAGAGGUGAGAGCCUGGAGCUCAACUCCAGAACUGCCUUUGAUACUGAGGAUCUUGAGUAUGGGAGAGGUGAGUGGAACUGCGAGUGUAGAGGUGAAAUUCGUAGAUAUUCGCAAGAACACCAGUGGCGAAGGCGGCUCACUGGCCCAUAACUGACGCUGAGGCACGAAAGCGUGGGGAGCAAACAGG
Molecule: ribosomal RNA, 404 nt
Filed under: uncultured bacterium
Lineage: Bacteria
Description: bacterial SSU rRNA
Rfam family: Bacterial small subunit ribosomal RNA
Source: RNAcentral